UCCCAGACUCCUACGGGAGGCAGCAGUGAGGAAUAUUGGUCAAUGGGCGAGAGCCUGAACCAGCCAAGUCGCGUGAGGGAAGACGGUCCUAUGGAUUGUAAACCUCUUUUGCCGGGGAGCAAAAAGCGGUACGUGUACCGCAUCGAGAGUACCCGGAGAAAAAGCAUCGGCUAACUCCGUGCCAGCAGCCGCGGUAAUACGGAGGAUGCGAGCGUUAUCCGGAUUUAUUGGGUUUAAAGGGAGCGUAGAUGGGUUGUUAAGUCAGUUGUGAAAGUUUGCGGCUCAACCGUAAAAUUGCAAUUGAUACUGGCAGCCUUGAGUACAGUUGAGGUAGGCGGAAUUCGUGGUGUAGCGGUGAAAUGCUUAGAUAUCACGAAGAACCCCGAUUGCGAAGGCAGCAUACCGGCUCCACACUGACGCUGAGGCACGAAAGCGUGGGUAUCGAACAGGAUUAGAUACCCUGGUAC
Molecule: ribosomal RNA, 467 nt
Filed under: uncultured bacterium
Lineage: Bacteria
Description: bacterial SSU rRNA
Rfam family: Bacterial small subunit ribosomal RNA
Source: RNAcentral